GGACUACCGGGGUAUCUAAUCCUGUUUGCUCCCCACGCUUUCGCGCCUCAGCGUCAGUCUCGGUCCAGAGCGCCGCCUUCGCCACCGGUGUUCUUCCCAAUAUCUACGAAUUUCACCUCUACACUGGGAAUUCCACGCUCCUCUCCCGAACUCCAGCAAACCCGUUUCGAGCGCACCUCCCAGGUUGAGCCCGGGGCUUUCACACUCGACAAGGUCCGCCGCCUACGCGCCCUUUACGCCCAGUAAAUCCGAACAACGCUCGCCCCCUUCGUAUUACCGCGGCUGCUGGCAC
This 292-nucleotide ribosomal RNA is filed under the name uncultured bacterium. RNAcentral's name for it is "partial 16S ribosomal RNA". The record is from RNAcentral.